CGGGUGAGUGACACGUAUCCAACCUGCCGUCUACUCUUGGACAGCCUUCUGAAAGGAAGAUUAAUACAAGAUGGCAUCAUGAGUCCGCAUGUUCACAUGAUUAAAGGUAUUCCGGUAGACGAUGGGGAUGCGUUCCAUUAGAUAGUAGGCGGGGUAACGGCCCACCUAGUCUUCGAUGGAUAGGGGUUCUGAGAGGAAGGUCCCCCACAUUGGAACUGAGACACGGUCCAA
This 231-nucleotide ribosomal RNA is filed under the name uncultured bacterium. RNAcentral's name for it is "partial 16S ribosomal RNA". It matches the Rfam family "Bacterial small subunit ribosomal RNA", at positions 103 to 334 of the family's 1533-position model. The record is from RNAcentral.